AGUGGGAUAGCUGGGUCAUAUGGUAGUUUCAUCCCUAGUUUUUUUGAGGAAUCUCCAUACUGCUUUUCAGAGUGGAUGUACUAGUCUGCAGUCCCACCAACAGU
Molecule: microRNA precursor, 104 nt
Filed under: Marmota monax (woodchuck)
Lineage: Eukaryota; Metazoa; Chordata; Mammalia; Rodentia; Sciuridae
Source: RNAcentral